This 251-nucleotide ribosomal RNA is filed under the name uncultured bacterium. RNAcentral's name for it is "partial 16S ribosomal RNA". It matches the Rfam family "Bacterial small subunit ribosomal RNA", at positions 755 to 1010 of the family's 1533-position model. The record is from RNAcentral.
GAAAGCGUAGGGAGCAAAUAGGAUUAGAUACCCUAGUAGUCUACGCCGUAAACGAUGAGUACUAAGUGUCGGACUAAGUUCGGUGCUGCAGCUAACGCAUUAAGUACUCCGCCUGAGUAGUAUGCUCGCAAGAGUGAAACUCAAAGGAAUNGACGGGGACCCGCACAAGCGGUGGAGCAUGUGGUUUAAUUCGAAGCAACGCGAAGAACCUUACCAAGGCUUGACAUCCAGUGCAAAGCUGUAGAAAUACA